ACGUAGGUGGCAAGCGUUGUCCGGAUUUACUGGGUGUAAAGGGCGUGUAGGCGGAGCUGCAAGUCAGAUGUGAAAUCUCCGGGCUUAACCCGGAAACUGCAUUUGAAACUGUAGUCCUUGAGUAUCGGAGAGGCAAGCGGAAUUCCUAGUGUAGCGGUGAAAUGCGUAGAUAUUAGGAGGAACACCAGUGGCGAAGGCGGCUUGCUGGACGACAACUGACGCUGAGGCGCGAAAGCGUGGGGAGCAAACAG
This 251-nucleotide ribosomal RNA is filed under the name uncultured bacterium. Its description in RNAcentral is "partial 16S ribosomal RNA". It matches the Rfam family "Bacterial small subunit ribosomal RNA", at positions 525 to 775 of the family's 1533-position model. The record is from RNAcentral.